Molecule: ribosomal RNA, 791 nt
Filed under: uncultured bacterium
Lineage: Bacteria
Description: bacterial SSU rRNA
Rfam family: Bacterial small subunit ribosomal RNA
Source: RNAcentral
AGAGUUUGAUCCUGGCUCAGGAUGAACGCUAGCGGCAGGCUUAAUACAUGCAAGUCGAGGGGCAGCAGGGGUAGCAAUACUCGCUGGCGACCGGCGCACGGGUGCGUAACGCGUAUGCAACUUACCUUUAACAGGGGGAUAGGCUUCCGAAAGGGAGACUAAUACCGCAUAAGACAAUGGGAUCGCAUGAUCGAGUUGUUAAAACUGAGGUGGUUAAAGAUAGGCAUGCGUGCCAUUAGCUAGUUGGCGAGGUAACGGCUCACCAAGGCGACGAUGGCUAGGGGAUCUGAGAGGAUGACCCCCCACACUGGUACUGAGACACGGACCAGACUCCUACGGGAGGCAGCAGUAAGGAAUAUUGGACAAUGGGGGCAACCCUGAUCCAGCCAUGCCGCGUGCAGGAAGACGGUCCUAUGGAUUGUAAACUGCUUUUAUCGGGGAAGAAUUCCUUUUACGUGUAAGAGGUUGACGGUACCCGAGGAAUAAGGAUCGGCUAACUCCGUGCCAGCAGCCGCGGUAAUACGGAGGAUCCGAGCGUUAUCCGGAUUUAUUGGGUUUAAAGGGUGCGUAGGCGGCUUUGUAAGUCAGUGGUGAAAGUUUGCAGCUUAACUGUAAAAUUGCCAUUGAUACUGCGAGGCUUGAGUACAGAUGAGGUGGGCGGAAUGUGUCAUGUAGCGGUGAAAUGCAUAGAUAUGACACAGAACACCAAUUGCGAAGGCAGCUCACUAAAGUGCAACUGACGCUGAGGCACGAAAGCGUGGGGAUCAAACAGGAUUAGAUACCCCGGUAGU